Molecule: ribosomal RNA, 253 nt
Filed under: uncultured bacterium
Lineage: Bacteria
Description: partial 16S ribosomal RNA
Rfam family: Bacterial small subunit ribosomal RNA
Source: RNAcentral
UACGGAGGAUGCAAGCGUUAUCCGGAAUUAUUGGGCGUAAAGCGUCCGCAGGUGGCACUUCAAGUCUGUCGUCAAAGACCGGGGCUUAACCCUGGAAAGGCGAUGGAAACUGAACAGCUAGAGUAUGGUAGGGGCAGAGGGAAUUCCUGGUGUAGCGGUGAAAUGCGUAGAGAUCAGGAAGAACAUCGGUGGCGAAGGCGCUCUGCUGGACCAUAACUGACACUCAGGGACGAAAGCUAGGGGAGCGAAUGGG